AGUUCCUACGGGGGGCAGCAGUGGGGAAUAUUGGGCAAUGGGCGCAAGCCUGACCCAGCAACGCCGCGUGAAGGAAGAAGGCUUUCGGGUUGUAAACUUCUUUUCUCAGGGACGAAGAAAGUGACGGUACCUGAGGAAUAAGCCACGGCUAACUACAUGCCAGCAGCCGCGGUAAUACGUAGGUGGCAAGCGUUAUCCGGAUUUAUUGGGUGUAAAGGGCGUGUAGGCGGGAGCGCAAGUCAGAUGUGAAAACUAAGGGCUCAACCCUGAGCCGGCAUUUGAAACUGGGUUUCUUGAGUGCUGGG
This 305-nucleotide ribosomal RNA is filed under the name uncultured bacterium. RNAcentral's name for it is "bacterial SSU rRNA". It matches the Rfam family "Bacterial small subunit ribosomal RNA", at positions 334 to 653 of the family's 1533-position model. The record is from RNAcentral.